GUGGAUGGUAGUGAAGACGACACUAAAAAAGACAAAGUGACGUCGGAGGCGUGGAAACGUCAUCAUGUCAAUAAUCCCCAACAAAAACGGCUGAAGGAAGCGUCAGCUCAUCGUAACAGAAAAGACAAGACAUUAGAGAAACUCUUUCAUGAGGAAAAACGUAACGUGCAAGGAUGGCCGGCUCGUCUUGGAAAGAAGGCGACUGAAGACAACACCGACUAUCUCGUGAGGGAUCUGCAAACCAGAACACAACGCGUCUGUCAUCAGAGAUACAACUGGUGGUCUGCACGAUGGAGAUGGGUUUGCAGUCACAGCAGCAAAUGACUUCGUUCCA
Branchiostoma floridae (Florida lancelet) is the source of this 334-nucleotide long non-coding RNA. RefSeq lists it as uncharacterized. The record is from RefSeq and is a predicted model, not a curated record. Lineage: Eukaryota; Metazoa; Chordata; Leptocardii; Amphioxiformes; Branchiostomatidae. The transcript is spliced from 4 exons.